Molecule: ribosomal RNA, 865 nt
Filed under: Cellulophaga sp. Ss91
Lineage: Bacteria; Pseudomonadati; Bacteroidota; Flavobacteriia; Flavobacteriales; Flavobacteriaceae
Description: bacterial SSU rRNA
Rfam family: Bacterial small subunit ribosomal RNA
Source: RNAcentral
GUCGAGUGGGUAAAGAGGAGCUUGCUCUUGCUGACGACCGGCGCACGGGUGCCUUAAAAGUAUACAAUCUGUCUUACACUAAGGGAUAGCCCAGACCUUUAAGAUUAACACCUUAUUGUUUAUUUUUAUGGCAUCAUUUAAAUAAUAAAGUUUACGGUGUAAGAUGAGUAUGCUCUCCAAAAGUUUGUUGGUAAGGUAACGGCUUACCAAGACUACGAUGGGUAGGGGCCCUGAGAGGGGGAUCCCCCACACUGGUACUGAGACACGGACCAGACUCCUACGGGAGGCAGCAGUGAGGAAUAUUGGACAAUGGAGGAGACUCUGAUCCAGCCAUGCCGCGUGCAGGAAGACGGUCCUAUGGAUUGUAAACUGCUUUUAUACAGGAAGAAUAAGGACUACGUGUAGUCUGGUGACGGUACUGUAAGAAUAAGGACCGGCUAACUCCGUGCCAGCAGCCGCGGUAAUACGGAGGGUCCGAGCGUUAUCCGGAAUUAUUGGGUUUAAAGGGUCCGUAGGCGGGCUGUUAAGUCAGGGGUGAAAGUUUGCAGCUCAACUGUAGAAUUGCCUUUGAUACUGAUGGUCUUGAAUUAUUGUGAAGUGGUUAGAAUAUGUAGUGUAGCGGUGAAAUGCAUAGAUAUUACAUAGAAUACCGAUUGCGAAGGCAGAUCACUAACAAUUGAUUGACGCUGAUGGACGAAAGCGUGGGUAGCGAACAGGAUUAGAUACCCUGGUAGUCCACGCCGUAAACGAUGGAUACUAGCUGUUUGGAUUUCGAUCUGAGCGGCCAAGCGAAAGUGAUAAGUAUCCAACCCUGGCGGAGUACGUUCUUCAAGAAUGAAAAAUCAAAAGGAAUAUGAAGGGAGGG